This 253-nucleotide ribosomal RNA is filed under the name uncultured bacterium. Its description in RNAcentral is "partial 16S ribosomal RNA". It matches the Rfam family "Bacterial small subunit ribosomal RNA", at positions 524 to 776 of the family's 1533-position model. The record is from RNAcentral.
GACGUAGGGUGCGAGCGUUGUCCGGAUUUAUUGGGCGUAAAGAGCUCGUAGGCGGCUCGUCGCGUCGACCGUGAAAACCCGCAGCUUAACUGCGGGCUUGCGGUUGAUACGGGCGGGCUAGAGUUCGGUAGGGGAGACUGGAAUUCCUGGUGUAGCGGUGAAAUGCGCAGAUAUCAGGAGGAACACCGGUGGCGAAGGCGGUUCUCUGGGAAUGUUCUGACGCUGAGGAGCGAAAGUGUGGGGAGCGAACAGG